RNAcentral lists this long non-coding RNA (651 nucleotides) under Olea europaea subsp. europaea. Lineage: Eukaryota; Viridiplantae; Streptophyta; Magnoliopsida; Lamiales; Oleaceae. The record is from RNAcentral.
AAAUACAACACCAACGAACCCUUGAAACUCACACAGUCACACUUCAUAUACAAUUUGAGUUUUCUGCAAAUUAUUAUCCUAUGGCGCAACUUAACAUUGCGAAGGUCUCCUUGCUAGCAUACGCCCUUGUGGCUCUCUUCGUCGUCGCCAUCACCACUGUCUCUGCUCAGGCGCCGGCACCUUCACCAGAUAAAGGAGAUGCGUUCUCUCUGCCAAUCUCCAGCGCCUUCAUUGCAACCUCUCUCCUCUUCUCAGUUUUCGCACUCUGGAAGCACUGAGUUGGAUGUCGAGUUAUUGUUCCUUUUUUAUGCUUCUUUUCGUGUAUGUGGUUUCAGUGAUGGAUUUGUGUUAUGAAGUAGAAUAUAUAUCGCGAUCUAUGGGGUUUUAGUUCUUCUGUAUGCAUUCAGAUUGUGAGAAAUAAAAUUUUUUAUUAAUUUUAUUCGUUUUGAGUGUUUCUCUUAAAUUAAAUUUCCAACUUUAAAAAUGGCAAAGAUUUGUAUAUUUUUCGGUUUGGUGCCAUAAAAGUGGAGCAUUAAUUUUUUGAAUUUCUUUUGAGAAUUAACAACCUUCUGUGUCGAUUCACAGCAUCUUUGACUUUGCUUCGUAUGCCAACACUUUUGAGCAAAAAGGAGAGUUUGCCUUAUUGUUCAG